AAAGGUCCGGGUAAAUAAUCUUGCAGUCGAGCGAAUGGAUUGAGAGCUUGCUCUCAUGAAGUUAGCGGCGGACGGGUGAGUAACACGUGGGUAACCUGCCCAUAAGAUUGGGAUAACUCCGGGAAACCGGGGCUAAUACCGGAUAACAUUUUGAACUGCAUGGUUCAAAAUUGAAAGGCGGCUUCGGCUGUCACUUAUGGAUGGACCCGCGUCGCAUUAGCUAGUUGGUGAGGUAACGGCUCACCAAGGCAACGAUGCGUAGCCGACCUGAGAGGGUGAUCGGCCACACUGGGACUGAGACACGGCCCAGACUCCUACGGGAGGCAGCAGUAGGGAAUCUUCCGCAAUGGACGAAAGUCUGACGGAGCAACGCCGCGUGAGUGAUGAAGGCUUUCGGAUCGUAAAACUCUGUUGUUAGGGAAGAACAAGUGCUAGUUGAAUAGGCUGGCACCUUGACGGUACCUAACCAGAAAGCCACGGCUAACUACUUGCCAGCAGCCGCGGUAAUACGUAGGUGGCAAGCGUUAUCCGGAAUUAUUGGGCGUAAAGCGCGCGCAGGUGGUUUCUUAAGUCUGAUGUGAAAGCCCACGGCUCACCCGUGAAGGGUCAUUGAAAACUGGGAAACUUGAGUGCAAAAAAGGAAAGUGAAAUUCCAUGUGUAGCGGUGAAAUGCGUAAAGAUAUGGAGGAACACCAUUGGCGAAGGCAACUUUCUGGUCUGUAACUGACACUGAGGCGCGAAAGCGUGGGGAGCAAACAGGAUUAGAUACCCUGGUAGUCCACGCCGUAAACGAUGAGUGCUAAGUGUUAGAGGGUUCCCGCCCUUUAUUGCUGAAGUUAACGCAUUAAGCACUCCGCCGGGGGAGUACGGCCGCAAGGCUGAAACUCAAAGGAAUUGACGGGGGCCCGCACAACCGGUGGACCAUGUGGUUUAUUUCGAAGCAACGCGAAAAACCUUACCAAGUCUUGACUUCCUCUUAAAACCCUAAAAGAUAGGGCUU
This 1000-nucleotide ribosomal RNA is filed under the name Bacillus anthracis (anthrax bacterium). Its description in RNAcentral is "bacterial SSU rRNA". It matches the Rfam family "Bacterial small subunit ribosomal RNA", at positions 38 to 1014 of the family's 1533-position model. The record is from RNAcentral. Lineage: Bacteria; Bacillati; Bacillota; Bacilli; Caryophanales; Bacillaceae.